GACGAACGCUGGCGGCGUGCUUAACACAUGCAAGUCGAACGGAAAGGCCCUGCUUUUGUGGGGUGCUCGAGUGGCGAACGGGUGAGUAACACGUGAGUAACCUGCCCUUGACUUUGGGAUAACUUCAGGAAACUGGGGCUAAUACCGGAUAGUAGCGCCUGCUGCAUGGUGGGGGUUGGAAAGUUUCGGCGGUUGGGGAUGGACUCGCGGCUUAUCAGCUUGUUGGUGGGGUAGUGGCUUACCAAGGCUUCGACGGGUGGCCGGCCUGAGAGGGUGACCGGCCACAUUGGGACUGAGGUACCGCCCGGACUCCUACGGGAGGCAGCAGUGGGGAAUAUUGCACAAUGGGCGGAAGCCUGAGGCAGCAACGCCGCGUGCGGGAUGACGGCCUUCGGGUUGUAAACCGCUUUCGCCUGUGACGAAGCGUGAGUGACGGUAAUGGGUAAAGAAGCACCGGCUAACUACGUG
RNAcentral lists this ribosomal RNA (468 nucleotides) under uncultured bacterium. RNAcentral describes it as "partial 16S ribosomal RNA". It matches the Rfam family "Bacterial small subunit ribosomal RNA", at positions 28 to 507 of the family's 1533-position model. The record is from RNAcentral.